RNAcentral lists this ribosomal RNA (439 nucleotides) under uncultured bacterium. RNAcentral's name for it is "partial 16S ribosomal RNA". It matches the Rfam family "Bacterial small subunit ribosomal RNA", at positions 339 to 795 of the family's 1533-position model. The record is from RNAcentral.
CUACGGGAGGCAGCAGUGAGGAAUAUUGCACAAUGGGGGGAACCCUGAUGCAGCAACGCCGCGUGGAGGAUGACGCAUUUCGGUGUGUAAACUCCUUUUAUAUGUCAAGAAAAUGACGGUAGCAUAUGAAUAAGCACCGGCUAACUCCGUGCCAGCAGCCGCGGUAAUACGGAGGGUGCAAGCGUUACUCGGAAUCACUGGGCGUAAAGGACGCGUAGGCGGGUUGGAAAGUCAGGUGUGAAAUCCUACAGCUUAACUGUAGAACUGCACUUGAAACUUCUAAUCUAGAGUAUGGGAGGGGGAGAUGGAAUUAGUGGUGUAGGGGUAAUAUCCGUAGAUAUCACUAGGAAUACCUAAAGCGAAGGCGAUCUCCUGGAACAUUACUGACGCUAAGGCGUGAAAGCGCGGGGAGCAAACAGGAUUAGAUACCCCGGUAGUC